GACGAACGCUGGCGGCGUGCUUAACACAUGCAAGUCGAACGGAAAGGCCCUGCUUUUGUGGGGUGCUCGAGUGGCGAACGGGUGAGUAACACGUGAGUAACCUGCCCUUGACUUUGGGAUAACUUCAGGAAACUGGGGCUAAUACCGGAUAGGAGCUCCUGCUGCAUGGGGGGGGUUGGAAAGUUUCGGCGGUUGGGGAUGGACUCGCGGCUUAUCAGCUUGUUGGUGGGGUAGUGGCUUACCAAGGCUUUGACGGGUAGCCGGCCUGAGAGGGUGACCGGCCACCUGGGGACUGCGGUACGGCCCAGACUCCUACGUGAGGCAGCAGUGGGGAAUAUUGCACAAUGGGCCGAAGCCUGAUGCAGCAGCGCCGCGUGCGGGAUGCCGGCCUUCGGGUUGUAAACCGCUUUCGCCUGUGACGAAGCGUGAGUGACGGUAAUGGGUAAAGAAGCACCGGCUAACUACGUG
This 468-nucleotide ribosomal RNA is filed under the name uncultured bacterium. Its description in RNAcentral is "partial 16S ribosomal RNA". It matches the Rfam family "Bacterial small subunit ribosomal RNA", at positions 28 to 507 of the family's 1533-position model. The record is from RNAcentral.